AGUGCGAUGACUACAGGAAACAACACCAUCAGUGUAUCGAGGCCAGUGGAAGUCAACUGGCUCUGCUAUACGCAGCACU
Molecule: small RNA, 79 nt
Filed under: Salix viminalis (osier)
Lineage: Eukaryota; Viridiplantae; Streptophyta; Magnoliopsida; Malpighiales; Salicaceae
Source: RNAcentral